This 504-nucleotide ribosomal RNA is filed under the name uncultured bacterium. Its description in RNAcentral is "partial 16S ribosomal RNA". It matches the Rfam family "Bacterial small subunit ribosomal RNA", at positions 29 to 523 of the family's 1533-position model. The record is from RNAcentral.
AUUGAGCGCUGGCGGCAUGCCUUACACAUGCAAGUCGAACGGCAGCAUGGAGAGCUUGCUCUCUGAUGGCGAGUGGCGAACGGGUGAGUAAUGCAUCGGAACGUACCGUGUAAUGGGGGAUAAAGUAGCGAAGGUUACGCUAAUACCGCAUACGACCUGAGGGUGAAAGCAGGGGAUCGCAAGACCUCGCGGUAUACGAGCGGCAGGUGGCAGAUUAGCUAGUUGGCGAGGUAAAGGCACACCAAGGCGACGAUCUGUAGCGGGUCUGAGAGGAUGAUCCGCCACACUGGGACUGAGACACGGCCCAGACUCCUACGGGAGGCAGCAGUGGGGAAUGUUGGACAAUGGGGGCAACCCUGAUCCAGCCAUGCCGCGUGAGUGAAGAAGGCCUUCGGGUUGUAAAGCUCUUUCGGCCGGGAAGAAAUCGCACAGGCUAAUACUCUGUGUGGAUGACGGUACCGGCAUAAGAAGCACCGGCUAACUACGUGCCAGCCGCCGCCGUAA